Long non-coding RNA from Ooceraea biroi (clonal raider ant), 2528 nucleotides. RefSeq lists it as uncharacterized. Lineage: Eukaryota; Metazoa; Arthropoda; Insecta; Hymenoptera; Formicidae. The record is from RefSeq and is a predicted model, not a curated record.
AUAAUUCCCUGUAUAUAAAGCGGUCACCCCCUGCUAUUUUUAAAGAAUAAAAACUUAGAAAAAAGGUUGAUUGAUAUUAAAAAUUACUUGAUGAUUGUCGCAUGAUUGUGUGUGUGUGUGUGUGUAUGCGCGGGUUGUUGGCUCGAUUUACCCGAAGUAAACAGCACGUAUCGACGUAGCAAAUGUGCGUGUACACAUCUUGCGUGCAAACAGUGCUUAAGUUCGAAUAAGCGCACUCGUCAUCCUCGCACCAAGCGAAUUUUAAUUCCGCGAACGAUAAUCAGCCGUCGUACGACAAUUAGCAAGUCGCGGAAUGGCACGGCCAAGGUCGUAACGGCAGCAGUCACCGACAUAAAAUUUUCUUUGCAAGCUUGCUCGUAGCCUUUGUUUCCUUUAUCUAUAGUCCUCAGUCACCGUGAGAAUUAUGCGGAUGUGACAUCGCUUCCUUAUCCAUUUUUGAUGAUCGCGUCGUUAAUUUCGUACGACGCAUGUUUCGUUAAUUCGUCUGCGAUCCAUAUUAAUCCAUAUUAUCCAUAUCCGUUGUGAAGAAAGAUGACUAAGCAUAUACACGUGGAUGAUGAUGGAUAUUCAUCGUCACUCAUUAUAUGAUUGAUGAGUACGAUCUUGCAGCCGUGAGCGAGUAGAAUGCAGUUACUCGCAGUAAUAAUCGGCAUUCCAACGGUCGUCAUUAUUGUAAGUAAUGAAUAAGUUCCCGUACUUUCUUCGGAAACUAAAUGUAUAUAUGUAAAUUCCACUCUUGAAAAGCGAUUUACAACUUGUGAAUGAUGGUUGUUGUAACACAAUUUUUGUAAACCUUUAUGAAUGCAAGAAAAAUGUUUCAUCCCCUGCUAAUUACUAAUGCAGCUAAUUCCAGAUGUGUUUACAGAGAUCGUAACUAAUAACUCUUAAUAAUUCCUAUUUUCCUAGGAAAAUUUAUCAUGUUUAGAAAAGCGCACGCACAAGUUAGGUAAUUACCUUGAUAAAUAAAUCAAGAUUAUACGCUUUUACAUUUUGCUUUUCUGCCUUUAGGUGUGUCCUUGUCCUUGUAUCUCAUUUCUCGCGUUGAAAAUUGAUUAUUCUAUAAAAUUUAUCUGUCAGCUGUUGCAACAAUUUUAAUCACAAAUUCUCAUCUUUAGAUCGCUUUCGCCAAAUCUCAUCUAAUCUCACGCAAUUCUCGAGUUUCCACUAGACGUGAUUCGAAUACUUGAUAUUGAUGAAGAGACACCGAACACCUGCUCAUUGAUCUUCUAUAACACGCAAAUCGUAGGCUUGUUCGUCGUGCGCGCUUUCUUACAAAUAAGGACCACCCAGUGCCAAAGUUCGUUGCGCGCAUCGCGAAUAGUAGUAAAUUAUAUAAAUAGCUAAUGGCAUCUGUGUCUCGAUUGCGUUUCUGAUUUUGCAGAGUGGCUCAAUCGAAUGGCUCGCACGGACCUUGAAUGCCGAUUUCUAGUCGAUAUUGUAUACGUCAUUUACGAUCGUUACGCGUCACGGACACACGAUCAUCGUACACCCACUUAAAGGCAUGGCACCAGUCAAAAAUGCGAUGUUUGGUCCACAGAUGCGACCAAGGAUUUGAAAUGGUGUAAUCUUGCCAAUCUUUUUGAAUCUUUAUGAAGUUUGCUCAAAAAGUCCUUGAUUAUUUACAUUUUUAUUCGUCGUGAAGUCUAUUCUUAUUCAACAUUUAUUUACUUAUUAAAUGAUACGUAAGAGACUAGUAGGUUGGUUUCGCAUGUGGCAAUAUCGUUUCUUUAUUUGAAUCACAAAAGCACUCUGAGAAUAAUGCAAUAGAUAGAAAAAGCAAAAGUAAAGCUAAAUUUUAAAAGAGUUUUAAUAAGUAUGACUACAACUGUUAUGUAAUAUUCAUAUGUUAAAUGAAUAUGUUAAUUUGCCUUUUCUUUACUUAUUGUUUACAAUGCAUUUUUGGAUUGAGAUGAUUAGAUAUAAAUCUUCAAAAUAUUCAAUAUUCAAUACCGUAUCACAUUUAGUUCCAAUUAUGCUUUUCAAAAUAUUUAUUUUUCUCGUUGCAACAUUUUAUAUAUGAAAAAUAUGUAUAUUAUUUUAUAUAGAGUUUUAUAUAGAGUUAGCGGCUUUUUUCUAGAAUAAAUAACAAAUCUUUAUUUAUUUAAAAAGUAGGAAUAUCAAGAAAAAAAGGAAAUAAAAAAAUUAUAUUUAUUAGAAUUUAAAUAUUCUGAUCAAAGUCCAAGUAAUUUAAUCUCGAAAUAUUUACAAUCAAGAUUAUUCUUUCAUAAACGCCGUCUCGAUAGCAUUCUUAAAUUACUGCACUACACAAUGUAGAGAAGGAUGUAACAAUCAUCUAAAUUUGAGCAUAUUAUUCAUGAGCAUUUAAAUGACUAUGUAAAAGAUAGUAUGCUAAAUAAAGAUCAAAAGUUAAAAUAUAGACAUGUAAUUAUAUACAAUAGACAUGUAAUUAUAGACAAUAGACUAUAUAUUAUAGAUAAUGACUAUGUAUUAAAGAUUAAUAGACAACAGAUUAAAAAUACACACACACACACAUGAUUGAGUAUAUA